RNAcentral lists this ribosomal RNA (1098 nucleotides) under Paenibacillus tritici. Its description in RNAcentral is "partial 23S ribosomal RNA". It matches the Rfam family "Bacterial large subunit ribosomal RNA", at positions 1 to 1089 of the family's 2925-position model. Lineage: Bacteria; Bacillati; Bacillota; Bacilli; Caryophanales; Paenibacillaceae. The record is from RNAcentral.
UUGGUUAAGCUAAUAAGAGCACACGGAGGAUGCCUAGGCGCCAGGAGCCGACGAAGGACGUGGCGAACAACGAAACUGCCUCGGGGAGCUGUAAGCAAGCUUUGAUCCGGGGGUGUCCGAAUGGGGAAACCCAGCUGUGGUAAUUCGCAGUUACUCGUAUCUGAAUACAUAGGAUACGCAGAGGCAGACCAGGGGAACUGAAACAUCUAAGUACCCUGAGGAAGAGAAAACAAUAGUGAUUCCGUCAGUAGCGGCGAGCGAACGCGGAACAGCCUAAACCAAGGGGCUUGCCCCUUGGGGUUGUGGGACGUCUCACAUGGAGUUACAAAGGAAUAUGGUAGGUGAAGAGGUCUGGAAAGGCCCGCGAUAGAGGUAAAAGCCCUGUAGCCUAAACUGUGUUCUCUCCGAGACGGAUCCCGAGUAGUGCGGGGCACGUGAAACCCCGUAUGAAUCCAGCAGGACCAUCUGCUAAGGCUAAAUACUACCUGGCGACCGAUAGUGAAACAGUACCGUGAGGGAAAGGUGAAAAGCACCCCGGAAGGGGAGUGAAAUAGAACCUGAAACCGUGUGCUUACAAAAAGUCAGAGCCCUUUCUAUGGGUGAUGGCGUGCCUUUUGUAGAAUGAACCGGCGAGUUACGUUUAACAUGCAAGGUUAAGGUGAGAAGCCGGAGCCGCAGCGAAAGCGAGUCUGAAUAGGGCGACUGAGUAUGUGGACGUAGACCCGAAACCGUGUGAUCUACCCCUGUCCAGGGUGAAGGUGCGGUAACACGCACUGGAGGCCCGAACCCACGCAUGUUGAAAAAUGCGGGGAUGAGGUGGGGGUAGCGGAGAAAUUCCAAUCGAACUCGGAGAUAGCUGGUUCUCCCCGAAAUAGCUUUAGGGCUAGCCUCGGUGAAUGGAGUGGUGGAGGUAGAGCACUGAUUGGGUGCGGGGCCCGCAAGGGUUACCAAGCUCAGUCAAACUCCGAAUGCCAUUUACUUCUUGCCGGGAGUCAGACAGUGAGUGCUAAGAUCCAUUGUCAAAAGGGAAACAGCCCAGACCAUCAGCUAAGGUCCCCAAGUGUGUGUUAAGUGGGAAAGGAUGUGGAGUUGCACAGA